GUGCCAGCAGCCGCGGUAAUACAGAGGUGGCAAGCGUUGUUCGGAAUCAUUGGGCUUAAAGCGUGUGUAGGCGGACCAGUAAGUGUCUUGUGAAAACCCCCGGCUUAACCGGGGAAUUGUUAGGCAUACUGCUGGUCUUGAGGUAGGCAGGGGUGCUUGGAACUCUUGGUGGAGCGGUGAAAUGCGUAGAUAUCAAGAGGAACGCCUGUGGUGAAAACGGAGCACUGGACCUAUUCUGACGCUGAGACACGAAAGCGUGGGGAGCGAACGGGAUUAGAUACCCCGGUAGUCCACGCUGUAAACGAUGCCUACUAGGUGUUGGAAAUUCUGACAUUUUCAAGACCGAAGCAAAAGUGUUAAGUAGGCCGCCUGGGGAGUACGGUCGCAAGGCUAAAACUCAAAGGAAUUGACGGGGGCUCACACAAGCGGUGGAGCAUGUGGAUUAAUUCGAAGCAACGCGCAGAACCUUACCUGGGUUUGACAUGGUUGGAUGCCUUUCUUGAAAGAGAGUAGGCUGCCCGCAAGGGUGAAACUUUCACAGGUGCUGCAUGGCUGUCGUCAGCUCGUGUCGUGAGAUGUCGGGUUAAGUCCCAUAACGAGCGAAACCCCUGCUGUUAGUUACUACCGCCGCAAGGCGGGUACUUUAACAGGACCGCCGGUGUUAAACCGGAGGAAGGUGGGGAUGACGUCAAGUCCUCAUGGCCUUUAUGCCCAGGGCGUCACACGUGCUACAAUGGUGACUACAGAGCGACGCAAGACCGUAAGGUGGAGCAAAUCGCACAAAAGUCAUCUC
This 793-nucleotide ribosomal RNA is filed under the name uncultured Planctomycetota bacterium. RNAcentral's name for it is "bacterial SSU rRNA". It matches the Rfam family "Bacterial small subunit ribosomal RNA", at positions 505 to 1289 of the family's 1533-position model. Lineage: Bacteria; Pseudomonadati; Planctomycetota. The record is from RNAcentral.